GACGAACGCUGGCGGCGUGCCUAAUACAUGCAAGUCGAGCGAACUUGAGGGAGCUUGCUCCCAAAAGUUAGCGGCGGACGGGUGAGUAACACGUGGGCAACCUACCUGUAAGACUGGGAUAACUUCGGGAAACCGGAGCUAAUACCGGAUAACUUCUUUUCUCGCAUGGGGAGAGGUUGAAAGACGGCUUCGGCUGUCACUUACAGAUGGGCCCGCGGCGCAUUAGCUAGUUGGUGAGGUAACGGCUCACCAAGGCGACGAUGCGUAGCCGACCUGAGAGGGUGAUCGGCCACACUGGGACUGAGACACGGCCCAGACUCCUACGGGAGGCAGCAGUAGGGAAUCUUCCGCAAUGGACGAAAGUCUGACGGAGCAACGCCGCGUGAGUGAAGAAGGUCUUCGGAUCGUAAAACUCUGUUAUCAGGGAAGAACAAGUAUCGGAGUAACUGCCGGUACCUUGACGGUACCUGACCAGAAAGCCACGGCUAACUACGUGCCAGCAGCCGCGGUAACAC
RNAcentral lists this ribosomal RNA (515 nucleotides) under uncultured bacterium. RNAcentral describes it as "bacterial SSU rRNA". It matches the Rfam family "Bacterial small subunit ribosomal RNA", at positions 28 to 526 of the family's 1533-position model. The record is from RNAcentral.